Long non-coding RNA from Polypterus senegalus (gray bichir), 228 nucleotides. RefSeq lists it as uncharacterized. The transcript has 3 exons. Lineage: Eukaryota; Metazoa; Chordata; Cladistia; Polypteriformes; Polypteridae. The record is from RefSeq and is a predicted model, not a curated record.
CCCGCGCACGCUCCUGCUGGCUGCACGGGUAUCUGCUAGUCCUUGAAUUGCUCAAAUGAAAAUAGUGGAGCUACGGUGUACAAAAUAUGGAUGAUACUGUUGGUAUCUGUGUUAGCUACAGUAUGAAAUUUGAACAAAGAAGGUCAUAGGAGUAACAUGCUGUCCUGGAUCACAGCAUAACCCUAUGUUCGUAUUUGGAGGACGUGUUGUGUUCAAGUUAUAUUCCGU